UGCCACAACGGCUUCCUGGCGUGGCACCAGCUUUGGACGUAAUGGAGCA
This 49-nucleotide non-coding RNA is filed under the name Aliiruegeria sabulilitoris. RNAcentral's name for it is "SAM-SAH-Weickhmann-2018 RNA". It matches the Rfam family "SAM/SAH riboswitch aptamer". The record is from RNAcentral. Lineage: Bacteria; Pseudomonadati; Pseudomonadota; Alphaproteobacteria; Rhodobacterales; Roseobacteraceae.